CUUGUCAUUCUUUGUUGGUCUUUGUCGAUGCUGGUCUUUGCUGAUGAUGCUGUGCUGUAUUGAUUUGCCUAGUUAUCUUUUGUUGAUUAUCGUUUGUUGUGAAUUUAAAAACAAGCCUACAUGAAGCAUAAUCCAAAUUUCUUCUAGAGGGGAUUUCAAAAUGACUAUACUUUAAAAUCAAGGAGCUUCCUUGCUUUUUCUCUGAAACAUCUUUCCCACCACGUUGAUGGCUGCUUGUACUACACAUCCAACUAUGCCAACUUAACUCAGAAGCAAUCUACAAAUCAAACACCAAUGACACCAAGACCAUCGGUUGUAUAAUGAGGCUAGCAGGACACAGACUACACUGGUCAUCUGUGACUUUGUAGCAUGGUUGUUCUCUCAGAACCAACAUACCCCAAGG
Non-coding RNA from Rattus norvegicus (Norway rat), 403 nucleotides. The record is from RefSeq and is a predicted model, not a curated record. NCBI's taxonomy places the organism in Eukaryota, Metazoa, Chordata, Mammalia, Rodentia, Muridae.